ACCUGCAAAAGUCUGCUGCAGAUUCUCCAGUCCUAUCCCAGACCUCCUGGAUCCAAAUCUCAGAGGGCAAGGGAUUCUGCACGUUGAAGAUGUUCCCUAGAUCCUUUCAUUCAGGAGGCAUCUCCCUGGAGACGGAGGAAAUGGUAGGAGUCCCCUGAGGUGCUGUCAGCUCCACUUGCAGAACUUCUGGAGAAAGAGUGAAAUACCAGAUGUGACAGAUGAAGCUCCCACAGCCAAUUGGACAGUGAGAUGAUAUGGGGGAAAUGGAAGCCACACAAAGCAAAGGAACAACAUGGAAGGAGCCUGGUUCCUAACACUGUAGAGUUAGAUCUCAACCCUAGAGUGACCAACUGUCUCUGGCCUCCUUAGUGGUGUUCCUUUGGAAAACAAACAUCUGAAAGGUCACAGAAUUUCAACAGGCAGCACAGAUUUGAUCUUUUCUCCAGGCUCCCACCACAUCCAAAACACGUCAUUUUGAGCUGAUAUGGUGCAAGAGAAUCAUAGAAGAAAUACACCUCCUUAAAUUAACUAACAGCUGCAUGACUCUUUUUAGGAAGGGAAAGUGGGUAGAAUUUGGGGGUAAGUACUAUACAAGAAAUUAUAAUACAUGUACAAAUAUUUAAUAUGCCCCCAAUAUGUAUAAAUACAUACCAGAUCUUGCAACAGGUAUAGAAAGCCUUUUUAUUAAGGUCAUUUAUUUCAGACUAGUUUAUAAGAUUGAAACACUUAAGAUUUUCAGACCAUAUUUAGGUCUAAGGGCUUCCAGAAUUAGAGUUAGCACUUCUCUUUUAUUCUCCCAUUUUUGUUUUUUAUGGAGAUAUAAUUAAUAUAUAACAUUGUAUAGGG
Molecule: long non-coding RNA, 846 nt
Organism: Suricata suricatta (meerkat)
Lineage: Eukaryota; Metazoa; Chordata; Mammalia; Carnivora; Herpestidae
Exons: 4
Source: RefSeq, a predicted model, not a curated record